CAGAGAAUAGUUUAAAUU
This 18-nucleotide transfer RNA is filed under the name Pan troglodytes troglodytes. Its description in RNAcentral is "partial tRNA-Pro". Lineage: Eukaryota; Metazoa; Chordata; Mammalia; Primates; Hominidae. The record is from RNAcentral.